Molecule: signal recognition particle RNA, 282 nt
Filed under: Sciurus vulgaris (Eurasian red squirrel)
Lineage: Eukaryota; Metazoa; Chordata; Mammalia; Rodentia; Sciuridae
Description: Metazoan signal recognition particle RNA (ENSSVLG00005014786.1)
Rfam family: Metazoan signal recognition particle RNA
About the family: The signal recognition particle (SRP) is a universally conserved ribonucleoprotein. It is involved in the co-translational targeting of proteins to membranes.
Source: Rfam by way of RNAcentral
CUAGGCACGUGGGUGCCAAGUAGUCCCAGUUACUCUGGAGAUAGGUGGGAAGAUCUCUUGAGUCCAGAAGUUCUGGGCUGUAGUGCAUUCUGCCAAUCGGGUAUCUGCACUAAGUUUGGCAUCAAUAUGGUGACUUCCUGGGAGUGGGGGACCACCAGAUUCCCUAAGAAGGGGUGAACCAUCCCAGGUUGGAAACAAAGCAGGUCAAAAACCCCCUACAAAUAGUCAGGAGUGGUGCUUGACUUGUACCGGAGAUUCAAAUGCUAGUUCUCUUCCCACCUC